This 527-nucleotide ribosomal RNA is filed under the name uncultured bacterium. Its description in RNAcentral is "bacterial SSU rRNA". It matches the Rfam family "Bacterial small subunit ribosomal RNA", at positions 983 to 1509 of the family's 1533-position model. The record is from RNAcentral.
GACAUCCAGCGAACUUGGCAGAGAUGCCUUGGUGCCUUUCGGGAACGCUGAGACAGGUGCCGCAUGGCUGUCGUCAGCUCGUGUUGUGAAAUGUUGGGUUAAGUCCCGCAACGAGCGCAACCCUUAUCCUUUGUUGCCAGCGAUUCGGUCGGGAACUCAAAGGAGACUGCCGGUGAUAAACCGGAGGAAGGUGGGGAUGACGUCAAGUCAUCAUGGCCCUUACGAGUAGGGCUACACACGUGCUACAAUGGCGCAUACAAAGAGAAGCGACCUCGCGAGAGCAAGCGGACCUCAUAAAGUGCGUCGUAGUCCGGAUCGGAGUCUGCAACUCGACUCCGUGAAGUCGGAAUCGCUAGUAAUCGUGGAUCAGAAUGCCACGGUGAAUACGUUCCCGGGCCUUGUACACACCGCCCGUCACACCAUGGGAGUGGGUUGCAAAAGAAGUAGGUAGCUUAACCUUCGGGAGGGCGCUUACCACUUUGUGAUUCAUGACUGGGGUGAAGUCGUAACAAGGUAGGCGUAGCGAG